UGCCAGCAGCCGCGGUAAUACGGAGGGUGCAAGCGUUGUUCGGAAUCACUGGGCUUAAAGCGCGUGUAGGCGGUCGGUCAAGUACUUUGUGAAAGCCCCGGGCUUAACCUGGGAAAUGCUUGGUAUACUGAUCGACUUGAGUCAGAUAGGGGUGCCUGGAACAAUAGGUGGAGCGGUGAAAUGCGUAGAUAUCUAUUGGAACGCCUGAGGCGAAAGCGGGGCACUGGGUCCGUACUGACGCUGAGACGCGAAAGCGUAGGUAGCGAACGGGAUUAGAUA
Molecule: ribosomal RNA, 279 nt
Filed under: uncultured bacterium
Lineage: Bacteria
Description: partial 16S ribosomal RNA
Rfam family: Bacterial small subunit ribosomal RNA
Source: RNAcentral